RNAcentral lists this ribosomal RNA (479 nucleotides) under uncultured bacterium. Its description in RNAcentral is "partial 16S ribosomal RNA". It matches the Rfam family "Bacterial small subunit ribosomal RNA", at positions 28 to 507 of the family's 1533-position model. The record is from RNAcentral.
GAUGAACGCUAGCGGGAGGCCUAACACAUGCAAGCCGAGCGGUAUUUGUUCUUCCUAGCAGAGAUAGCGGCGCACGGGUGCGGAACACGUGUGCAACCUGCCUUUAUCUGUGGGAUAGCCUUUCGAAAGGAAGAUUAAUACCCCAUAAUAUAUUUAGUUUCAUCAUUUGAUAUUGAAAACUCCGGUGGAUAUAGAUGGGCCCGCGCAAGAUUAGAUAGUUGGUGAGGUAACGUCUCACCAAGUCAAUGAUCUUUAGGUGGGCUGAGAGGGUGAUCCACUACAAUUGUACCGAGAUACGGACCCGACUCCGAGGGAAGGCAGGAGAAUGUAACAUUGGAGGAUGGGUCAGGGCCGGACACCGCCACCUCGGGUGAAGGAGGAUGGGCAUAGGAGAUGUCAGUUUCUUUUGUAUAGGGAUAAACCAACUAUCGUGAGAGUAGUUGAAGGUACUAUACGAAUAAGCCACGGCUAACUACGUG